Molecule: ribosomal RNA, 1509 nt
Filed under: Salmonella enterica subsp. enterica serovar Typhimurium
Lineage: Bacteria; Pseudomonadati; Pseudomonadota; Gammaproteobacteria; Enterobacterales; Enterobacteriaceae
Description: partial 23S ribosomal RNA
Rfam family: Bacterial large subunit ribosomal RNA
Source: RNAcentral
GAUUCGUCACACUAUCAUUAACUGAAUCCAUAGGUUAAUGAGGCGAACCGGGGGAACUGAAACAUCUAAGUACCCCGAGGAAAAGAAAUCAACCGAGAUUCCCCCAGUAGCGGCGAGCGAACGGGGAGGAGCCCAGAGCCUGAAUCAGCAUGUGUGUUAGUGGAAGCGUCUGGAAAGGCGCGCGAUACAGGGUGACAGCCCCGUACACAAAAGCGCAUGUGCUGUGAGCUCGAUGAGUAGGGCGGGACACGUGGUAUCCUGUCUGAAUAUGGGGGGACCAUCCUCCAAGGCUAAAUACUCCUGACUGACCGAUAGUGAACCAGUACCGUGAGGGAAAGGCGAAAAGAACCCCGGCGAGGGGAGUGAAAAAGAACCUGAAACCGUGUACGUACAAGCAGUGGGAGCACCCUUCGGGGUGUGACUGCGUACCUUUUGUAUAAUGGGUCAGCGACUUAUAUUCUGUAGCAAGGUUAACCGUAUAGGGGAGCCGGAGGGAAACCGAGUCUUAAUUGGGCGUUAAGUUGCAGGGUAUAGACCCGAAACCCGGUGAUCUAGCCAUGGGCAGGUUGAAGGUUGGGUAACACUAACUGGAGGACCGAACCGACUAAUGUUGAAAAAUUAGCGGAUGACCUGUGGCUGGGGGUGAAAGGCCAAUCAAACCGGGAGAUAGCUGGUUCUCCCCGAAAGCUAUUUAGGUAGCGCCUCGUGAAUUCAUCUCCGGGGGUAGAGCACUGUUUCGGCUAGGGGGCCAUCCCGGCUUACCAACCCGAUGCAAACUGCGAAUACCGGAGAAUGUUAUCACGGGAGACACACGGCGGGUGCUAACGUCCGUCGUGAAGAGGGAAACAACCCAGACCGCCAGCUAAGGUCCCAAAGUCAUGGUUAAGUGGGAAACGAUGUGGGAAGGCCCAGACAGCCAGGAUGUUGGCUUAGAAGCAGCCAUCAUUUAAAGAAAGCGUAAUAGCUCACUGGUCGAGUCGGCCUGCGCGGAAGAUGUAACGGGGCUAAACCAUGCACCGAAGCUGCGGCAGCGAACGUAUCACCCAAGACAACUUUACGGAGUUGACGAUUGACGGAGCGAAGCGACGUCAAAGCGUUCAUUAAAGUCGAGUUGGCUUAGGGAUACGUUCGUUGGGUAGGGGAGCGUUCUGUAAGCCUGUGAAGGUGUGUCGUGAGGCAUGCUGGAGGUAUCAGAAGUGCGAAUGCUGACAUAAGUAACGAUAAAGCGGGUGAAAAGCCCGCUCGCCGGAAGACCAAGGGUUCCUGUCCAACGUUAAUCGGGGCAGGGUGAGUCGACCCCUAAGGCGAGGCCGAAAGGCGUAGUCGAUGGGAAACGGGUUAAUAUUCCCGUACUUGGUGUUACUGCGAAGGGGGGACGGAGAAGGCUAUGUUGGCCGGGCGACGGUUGUCCCGGUUUAAGCGUGUAGGUGUGUGUUCCAGGUAAAUCCGGUUCACUUUAACACUGAGGCGUGACGACGAGGCACUACGGUGCUGAAGCAACAAAUGCCC